This 253-nucleotide ribosomal RNA is filed under the name uncultured bacterium. RNAcentral's name for it is "partial 16S ribosomal RNA". It matches the Rfam family "Bacterial small subunit ribosomal RNA", at positions 524 to 776 of the family's 1533-position model. The record is from RNAcentral.
CACGUAGGCACCAAGCGUUGUCCGGAUUUAUUGGGCGUAAAGCGCGUGUAGGCGGCUUUGCAAGUCGGGUGUGAAAGCCCUCGGCUCAACCGAGGAAGUGCGCCCGAAACUGCAGAGCUUGAGUACCGGAGAGGAUGGCGGAAUUCCCCAAGUAGAGGUGAAAUUCGUAGAUAUGGGGAGGAACACCGGUGGCGAAGGCGGCCAUCUGGACGGAUACUGACGCUGAGACGCGAAAGCGUGGGGAGCAAACAGG